AGGCAACCUCCCCUGCUUGCUGAACCUGGUUUUAGAGGAGGGGCUGGGGACUGGGUGACCAUCUUUUGACAGAGCCCUGUUUGGGAGUUUGCCGAGGUUCCACACGAAACAGACACAGCUGGCGUAUCAACCAAAGCUGACAGAAAGCACCUCUGUGCACUGCCUCUACCUGAGACACUGGAGAGAGGCUUGGAUCCAGAAGCCCGCCCAGAUUGUGUACUUGUUCCUUUUGCGGGAGUGUAACCCCAUCCAGGACAGGAAGAUUGAAGCUGUUUCCUGAGUUCCAACCCCACAAAAAGAUCUCUGCAUAUCACUCUACAAACACUUAAAGUGCAGCAGAAGAGCAAUGGGAUUAAAAUCAGAGUGAAGAGAAAAGAACUAAACUUUCUUGAAUAAUGAUGAAUGCAACGGUGGGAAAGCAUAGUACACCAACAAACAAGCAAAAAUCCAGAGGUUGGCCCUCAGCUGAAGACAAAGAAAUGAGCCCAGCACAAGCUGUUUAUACCAGGACUUUGACAAGAAUAAGAAGACAAGCGGCUGAAGUAUCAGCAGGGGGUUUAUCCUGACAACACGCUUUGCAAGCAGAUGUGCAAACACUUUUCAUUACUUGUAUACGGUAUGGUGCUUGGAUUUGAUAUUUUAUUUAUGUUGUUCAGACCUCUAUCUCGAUUGGAUUUGCUCUGUUCAUUAGCUGGGCUUGCAGUAAGCUGAAUGCAGGCUCACACCUUGAAAAUAUAGACGAUCUAGUACAGUACUAACUAGAAAUGUCGGUAGAAAGGGUCAUGCUCUAUGCCAGUACAACUGCAACAUUUUGCAAAACAUAAUGAAGAAGAUGAAUAUCCACAGCUUUGAAUGUAACAUAUGGAAAGGCAACAUACAAAUAAGAUGCCGUAUUUGAAUAUCUUUGUGCUCAUUUUGUGCACUGCUUCCAUCUUCCAAAUGUAAAUUGCACUAGAGCAGUUGCAGAAAUGCUGAAAUUGUGCAACGGAUUCGCUCAAUUGCCCUGCCAUUUUUUCCAAUGGCCCUGAAAUCGCACAACUCCCUUGCAAGUGUGCUCUUUCACAAAUGCUGAAAUCUUGCAAGGGCUCUUGCACAACUUGCAUUUGGAAGAUCUCACAGCAGUAACAUCCGUAAUAUGCAAAACACCCAUGGAACACUGUGAGAUAUGGUGGCCUCUAAUUUGUACUAAUUACUGAAUAAUUUAGUCAGGAUGUCAGCCAAUAUUAAUUGACUUUAUAAGCUGUUGUGAGAUUUUAAGAGUAACCCUCUAAACCAGUGUACAACCUUUAAAAUAUAUAUCAUGAGAAAGACAAUUAUGUGGUAAUCUGUUCACCUUGUUUUUGAUCCAAAAAAGCUGCCCAGUCAUUAGUUGACUGUGCUUAUUUUUAAAAUUUAUUUCCCUCAGUGUGCUUAAAACAGCUAAUAAAAAGGAAUUACAUUAUUUAUUUAAUUAAUAUGUUUAAUAAUUAACUAAUUAAUUAAUUGUGAAGUGCAUGAGCACUUCAGACAUUUUAACCACUUAACUUCCCCACUGUGGUAAAAAUCUUUGGAAAAUAAACAUUCUGAGUUGGGUGGUGGUGGUGGUGGUUAAUCAAUUUAACAAACUGCAGGCAUGCUUCCAGUGGCACAACACUAGUUUGGAAUCGAAGCUCCAAACUUAGUGCUAAUAGCAAGCUCAACAGCUUUGCACCAGCAUAAAGUCCUUUUGCAAGUGGUGUUGCACUAGAUGUCAGUAGCAGAGUUUUACUAAACAUUAUUUGCUCUUGAAUUAUAGGAUUUGGAAUUGCAAAAACUCAUAGACUUUUAAAUCCAGUCCCUUGAUUCAAGCCAAACUACUGACAUUAAAGCAUCCUACAUAUCAAAUCAUGUCACUCCCAAACACAGUUUCCCAUAAGGACAAUGGAAGAACACAGUUAAGGAUAAACAACUACCUGUAGAGCCAAUACUGCUAAAUAAUUCAAGCAAGUGGACAAAUUACAUAUUACACUGGAAAUCACAUUCACAGCACUGAUGACCUGAUAGGAGGAAGGUAUCCUAGAAGAUAAAUAACAUGAUCUGGCAGAUAGAAAGCACCAUCAAAACCCAUUCACCAAUAUCCUGGAAAAGAUAUUUGGGGGGCAUAAGGCCAUGUCAUUCAACUUUUUUUCAAAAUUUAUUUUCCUGUCUCCUCUCAAUUUGCAGAGAAUAAUGACAAGAGCAGAAUAAUUUCCUAGUCGUCAUCAUCAUCAUCGUGUGUUUACUUGGUCCUCACACCUUUUAAAAAAAGAAAAAUACAGAAAAAUUACAAAAAGAGACUAAAAUUAUAUAGUCAAUUUUCCAGAUAAUA
Hemicordylus capensis (graceful crag lizard) is the source of this 2326-nucleotide long non-coding RNA. RefSeq lists it as uncharacterized. The record is from RefSeq and is a predicted model, not a curated record. Lineage: Eukaryota; Metazoa; Chordata; Lepidosauria; Squamata; Cordylidae. The transcript has 3 exons.